Molecule: long non-coding RNA, 1083 nt
Filed under: Lonchura striata (white-rumped munia)
Lineage: Eukaryota; Metazoa; Chordata; Aves; Passeriformes; Estrildidae
Description: domestica (Bengalese finch) lncRNA (ENSLSDG00000007382.1)
Source: RNAcentral
AACUGAAGACUGGAUAGGGUCUGGCACAUGCUUAAUUUUCCACUAGCAAGAGAAACUGUGCUAAAUGCCAAGAAUCCCCCAAGAUCUGUAGGGCUGGGCAGAUGGAUGGUGUGAGGACAGGCUGCUGUCUUCUGUGUCCUCUGCCCAGGGUCCCAGAUUGCCUGCUGGAGUCGAAGAGGGUGAGACUUUUCCCCUGCACUUAGCAGCAGUCUCUGUCUGUGGAAGGUUUCCCUGUGUUCUCUCACCUUGCUGGGAGACCUUUCAAAGAUCUUUGGAAGAGGUGCGAGGGUGUCUUUCCUUGAGGGUAGCUUUCUUUGCUGGCUGUCCCCUUUAUAGCCAGGAGGGACAGGGUAAACAAAGAUACUGUCAGAAUUCAGGUUGAAUGCAUCCUUGGGAUGGUGUAAGAGGUCAGAUUUCACUUGGCUUGACUGACAAUAUUAGGGUAAGGUUUUUUUCCUUUUUUGUUAGCAGGAAAAGAGUCUCAGAAAGUCCCUUUCAGAAAGCUUGUGAUGAGAUGAUGCAAGGAACUUGGCAGUUUUACAUUGGAAGCAAGAUAAUUGAUUGGAGUUUGCUAUGACACUGCAACUUGUUACAAUAAGCAGUCAGCCCUCUGCAAAAGCAGAGCAAGAGGAGAGCAGGUCUGUGCACUUCUGCUGGGGUGGAAAUUCUCUGGCUUUCAGUGUUUGCACAGUGAAUUCAAUGUCAACAUACUUACAGACAGCAGAUCUCAGAGGAGUCAGAGGCACAUUCCCAGAAGAGUUACAAUCCAGGGUUUACACUUCUAGUGAAAUGCUGUCUGAGAAGUGCUGUAAAAAGAAAGGUUGGUCAAAGGCAGGUGUUGUGUCCAUGUGGAAGCCCAGCAGCUGUAUUCCUGAUGUACUGUCUGGAAUCCACCUGGAUGGCUUUCUAGGAUAUGUUCCCAAGAGCUCUGCAAGGAGCCCAGCAGCCAGAGGUACAACGUGGGCAGGAAGAGAGAGACACACCAUCACUUACCAGCUCUGUGUCAAAGCUUUUGUAUCAGCUAGUCAGCAGCAGAAGAGGAGCAGUGCAUUCCAACAGCCAGCAACCUGUACAAGGUACUGA